GCAUCAUUUAGCUAGAGAUGGAUUGGUGAGGCGGAGGAUGGCUGAGUUUAGACAGCUGAUGUGGUUCACGCAUCAGAUCAGUCAGGAGCUGGGAGCACAGGCACUGGCUAAAGACCAUGACAAGAGGUUAAGGGUAAAGGCUUUCAACUCAGAGACGGACAACUUCAAGCUGCCGUACGGGGGCCACCAGUACCACGCCAGCUGUGCCAAUUUCUGGAUUAACUGCGUGGAGCCCAAACCGCCGGGCCUCAUUCUGCCCGACCUGCUCUGAACUGCAGACAACCGCUGCCAUGGCAACGGGCGCCAGGUAAUCAACACCGGCGAGGUGCAACAGCCGGGCUCCCCACCGCACACCUCACACCUUGGGCUGCGAAUACAGAGAUCACAGAGAGACCUCAGAAGUCACUGGAAUCAUCUUUAUUUAUUUGCCUUUUAUUCUCUCUCUUUCUCUCUCAGAGGUACUCUGUGCUCUUUGCAGCGGUGAAGAAGUGCAAAUCUGCUAGUUUGUACAAAUUCAAGGCUUGACACAGUAAAGACUAUUCUGUAUCAUAAUGUAUUGUAAAAUUAUACUUUAUAAAUGGUGUCAUUUUCUCAUUUUUCCUUCUUUUUUUUCCAUUGUCUGGUCUCAUAUACAGUAUAAUGCAAUAGAAGUUACAAGUUGGCAUUUUAGCAUUGAUGCUUAUGCGACUUCUCUGGCAGGAUUUAUUUUGGCAAACAUUAUUCAGAUAAUGAACCAAUGUUGUGCUACGGUAACCCAGAGGAGGUCUAGUCCCUAUGUCAGAGCAGGGGAAAAUGUGGACACUUAUAUGAAUGGGGUAAUGGGUCUCAACGUUUUCUGUAAUGCACUCUUUCUGUGACUCAACAAGUCCAUAACAAACUAUUAAAACUGUGCAAUAUACUACUAAUGAAGGAACUUGGAGACAAACUGAAGUGUAAAGUUAUCUGUCGUUUCCCUUGAUUGUCACUUGUUGCUUUGUUACUGUUUAAUGCUUGAGGGACUGUGUUGGUGUUUCGGUCUUAAAGUAGUAUUUUGUCCUUUGUUCUUCUCGAGUCGGGGUUGUGGUAUCAUCACACUGCUGGAACUGAAUCAAUUUUACGGUCGGGUCUCUAAAAGGAUAGUCUAUGGUUGCUAACAUUUUAAUUCAUAUUUAACUUUUUAGGUAUUGUGUGACAUUAACUGCUUUUUAAUGUCUUUGUAUUGUUUGAAAAGGAUUGCUUUAUCUAAAUGAAUGUUAAUGUGCUGUUUGAAUUUUUUUGUGACAUUGGGACUUGAAAGGGAGUCUUAAUUCUUAAAGAUUGUUGGCUGUGGGUUUUGUUUUUCUGUCUUGCUGUGCCAGUGUAUAUAUACUCACACUGAUGGGGAUGUUUUGGCAGAUCUAAGUCUUGAAUGAAGUCAACUAUGAUUAUGGACUACUAUUGCAGCAGCACUUUGUGUGGAUUACAGUAUCAUAGUGUUGUAAUUACAAUGACUAACUGUAAUGUGAAGUGAUGACAUAUACAUAAAUAAUACAUUGAUGCAUAAAUUAAAUACAUUUCAUGGUCAUUAAUCAAUUAAUCAAUGAAUGUAUUACCUGGAAGCCUAUUACCAUACACAUUAAUUAAGAGUAUUGUACAAUUCUGCUGAAUUUGGUUUUGUUUUCAAUAUUUUCUGAAUAUAAUCAAGGUUGGUUUGAAUGUCAACAUGAAUCCUGAAGGCAUUCUAUUGUCUCAAUAGCACGAGUCGUUUAAUCUGGAUGACAUCUGUAACAAAGUCAGGUUCAGAGUCUAAUGCAGCAAUAUCAUAUUAGCACUACUUCUCCUAAAAUGCCAAAUGGUUUGAGAUUGUCACGUCUUUCAUUUUUCACUCAAUAACAUGUUAUUUCUCAGACCAGGGAGGUUUCAUCUCUAUCACUUUGUGACCAAAUGAAAUACAUUAACCUCAGACAAGCCUGCUGGGCCAUCGCUGGAGGACGGAGAGCUAAGACAAUCAAAUGAAAAACAUGCCUGUAGUGGCACCAUGCAUGGAACCAGUCUCAUUAUCAUUCUGUCUCGUGUGUACAGGACAGGUGUGUGUGUUCUCCAACAUACAUUUUUAUCUCUCACCAUUCCCUAAUUGAACAUCCUGCUGAAAAUGAAUUCCUCUCUCCGUCUUCUCACCGUGAGCUGCC
Molecule: long non-coding RNA, 2147 nt
Filed under: Salmo salar (Atlantic salmon)
Lineage: Eukaryota; Metazoa; Chordata; Actinopteri; Salmoniformes; Salmonidae
Description: lncRNA (ENSSSAG00000082150.1, ENSSSAG00000085360.1)
Source: RNAcentral